CGGGAAGACACUAGUCAUCACUAUGGGCAACUUGUUUCCUAAAAUUUUGUUAUCUGCUGCUAGCUCUGUGGAAGCAAUUUUCAUUUCCAGAAUUUCAAGGAUAUAUAAAGCAACACAGCAGCCAGCUGCAUGGGCAAACAAAUAUGUGCUGUUAUUUCAUGGAAUGACGACUCUUCCAAAGAUAAGAAGACAGGACAGAAAUACUUUCGCUGAGAACUAUCUCCACACAAAAGCUUACAGAGUCAAAUAUGAUGUCUUGUCUUAUCACUUCAGAACAGACUCUGGAGUUUGAAAAGAGUUCUGAAAUUUGCUUAACUCGCCAUUUCCGAAUAUAAUGAGGAAAUCAAUGUGUCUUGCUUUUAGAAAUGCUGGUGGCUUCAGAAUAAUUUGAGACACUGCAAGGAUAAGCAGAAAUGAAACUGCAAGUACUUGCUCAUCAUUGGAAUAUCUGAGAUGAGUUACAGAUAAAAAUGUGUUAAUGUACUGUCAUCAGGAAGAAUAUGUCAUUCAGAUUUACUCACUAGUCUCAGCGUUUUUUCAGCAAGCUAAUUUAGAAGUUGGGGGUCGGCUGAGUGAAGCCUAUGGGCAUCUUCAGCGCUACUGCAGCUAGGCAGGGUUACAAAAUGGGAUUGCAGCAGGGAAAAUGUCUUGGUCAGAAUGAAAUGCAGCAAUCAAAACCAUUUUCAGUUGUGUAAAACUUUAGCCUUCUCCCCUGCAAAUCAACCUUCUCCUGUCAAACAUUAACUCAGAUCUGUUUGCCACUCUGGAGGAAAAAGAAAAUUGAUAGAUAAUACAGUAGUUGGAAAAUGUAUGGACAAAUGUAUGGACAAUAUAGUGCAAAGAGAGUUCUUGAAACAAAUUAAUAAUUUGGGGAACUGUAUUCAAAUAUAUUUAUCACUGUGUAUGUACCUUUGCGUUAUUGCCAAGAAUUUAUGGGAGGGAUUUUAAUCUCUGUUUGAAGUUUAGAGGCUAAAUUUCUUUUUGAUAUUCAGGCAAUUUUCCAGUCAACUGCUACUGUACGGGAUUAUUUGAAUGAGAUCACGCUAAUUUUAACGAAGCCCAAAGUUUAAAUUAGAUACAACAAAGUCUUGGUUUACUUCAAAUGUUAUUCCAGAUGCCAUUGUACAUAGAACUAUUCAAAUGAUUGUUUUUUUAUUAAGUUUCUCAACCACAAUUUUGUGAAAAAAUUUAUUUCAAGUAUUGUAA
Molecule: long non-coding RNA, 1206 nt
Filed under: Numida meleagris (helmeted guineafowl)
Lineage: Eukaryota; Metazoa; Chordata; Aves; Galliformes; Numididae
Description: lncRNA (ENSNMEG00000008524.1)
Source: RNAcentral